This 500-nucleotide ribosomal RNA is filed under the name uncultured bacterium. RNAcentral describes it as "bacterial SSU rRNA". It matches the Rfam family "Bacterial small subunit ribosomal RNA", at positions 27 to 518 of the family's 1533-position model. The record is from RNAcentral.
GAACGAACGCUGGCGGCGCGUUUAAGCAUGCAAGUCGAGCGGCAAGGGCCUUCGGGCCCCUAGAGCGGCGGACGGGUGAGUAACACGUGGACAAUCUGCCCCCCGGCCCGGGAUAGCCCAGGGAAACCUGGAUUAAUACCGGAUGAGACGGGACCCGCGAUGGCGGGACCCGGGAAAGGCGCUGCGGCGCCGCCGGGGGAUGAGUCUGCGUCCCAUUAGCUAGACGGCGGGGUAACGGCCCACCGUGGCGACGAUGGGUAGCCGGCCUGAGAGGGUGGACGGCCACAUUGGAACUGAGACACGGUCCAGACUCCUACGGGAGGCAGCAGCUAAGAAUCUUCCGCAAUGGGCGAAAGCCUGACGGAGCCGACGCCGCGUGAACGAAGAAGGCCGUGAGGUUGUAAAGUUCUUUCGGGAGGGGGAACAACCGUGGCAGGGAAUGGCCGCGGGAUGACGUGAAUCCCGGAAUAAGCCCCGGCUAACUACGUGCCAGCCGCCGC